UGUGGCCAAUCAUAGCAUAAAAUAACUGCACUUCUGUUUCAACAUUCCAUUCUAUUUGCUCGGAAACUUCUUCUUUGUCUUUCACCACCAUUUUUAAUGCACUAUCCGGCACUACAACACCAGCCUUCUGCUGCGAAUCGAAUUUUGUAUCGAAAGUACAAUACUCGAUUUACAAAAGACAAACCUCGAACGCCAAUUCAAAUUUCACAGAAGACACCUGUAAUAUACGGCCAGCCGGCAGCUUCCGCUGAAGGAGAAGUGAAGCCCGAAAGAGUUCCACCCCGCAAUCCGAUUUGAGGCAGACAUCAGCCAACUUGAGGGAGCGAAUGAAUGUGUUGACGAAUAUCUGCCCUGGCUACAUCCGCUGUUGCUUCCUGGUUGCAUGCCGGGCAGUGGAACUGUUGACCUUAAGUGUUCUGGAAAGGCUGCAGAGUAAUUCACUGACUUCAGGACAUACGGAAAGCGCACAGAGAUUUGGCAGCGCUCGAUUGGAUCAGAAGGU
Schistocerca serialis cubense is the source of this 502-nucleotide long non-coding RNA. RefSeq lists it as uncharacterized. The record is from RefSeq and is a predicted model, not a curated record. Lineage: Eukaryota; Metazoa; Arthropoda; Insecta; Orthoptera; Acrididae. The transcript is spliced from 4 exons.